CCUACGGGAGGCAGCAGUGGGGAAUCUUGCGCAAUGGGCGAAAGCCUGACGCAGCCAUGCCGCGUGAAUGAUGAAGGUCUUAGGAUUGUAAAAUUCUUUCAGUAGGGACGAUAAUGACGGUACCUACAGAAGAAGCCCCGGCUAACUUCGUGCCAGCAGCCGCGGUAAUACGAAGGGGGCUAGCGUUGCUCGGAAUUACUGGGCGUAAAGGGAGCGUAGGCGGGUUAUCAAGUUGGAGGUGAAAGCCCAGGGCUCAACCUCGGAAUUGCCUUCAAAACUGAUAGCCUAGAGUAUGAUAGAGGUAUGUGGAACUCCGAGUGUAGAGGUGAAAUUCGUAGAUAUUCGGAAGAACACCAGUGGCGAAGGCGACAUACUGGGUCAUGACUGACGCUGAGGCUCGAAAGCUGGGGAGCAAACAGGAUUAGAUACCCUGGUAGUCCACGCUGUAAACGAUGAUUGCUAGUUGUCGGACGGCANGCGUCGUGACGCNGCUACGCAUAGACACGACCGCCGUCGGGAGGUACGGUCGCGAGAAGUUAAACGUUAAAGUAAAGUUAGUUACGGUACGUUGAGACGUUGCCGACGGACGACGACGAGGGAGGAGG
Molecule: ribosomal RNA, 605 nt
Filed under: uncultured bacterium
Lineage: Bacteria
Description: bacterial SSU rRNA
Rfam family: Bacterial small subunit ribosomal RNA (bases 1-512)
Source: RNAcentral